Long non-coding RNA from Podarcis raffonei (Aeolian wall lizard), 5280 nucleotides. RefSeq lists it as uncharacterized. The record is from RefSeq and is a predicted model, not a curated record. Lineage: Eukaryota; Metazoa; Chordata; Lepidosauria; Squamata; Lacertidae. The transcript has 2 exons.
CUCCUUCCUAGAACAGAGGAGACAAAAAUGAAUAUAAUGAGCUUUGGGGCUCUACUGGCGUAAUAGUGAAAGUACUCAAUAAAUUACACCAUCAUCUUGCACCCAAUAGUGAUAAUGAUUAUUAUUUAAGUGUGCUGUUGUGAAGCUGAGUUGAAAUGGACCAGCAUGCUAUAGAAGUGAUUUGUGCUGUAUUAUAAUAAUUGUAUGGGACGCGGGUGGCGCUGUGGGUUAAACCACAGAGCGUAGGACUUGCUGAUCAGAAGGUCGGCGGUUCGAAUCCCUGCAACAGGGUGAUCUCCCGUUGCUUGAUCCCUGCUCCUGCCAACCUAGAAGUUUGAAAGCACGUCAAAGUGCAAGUAGAUAAAUAGGUACCGCUCUGGCAGGAAGGUAAACGGCGUUUCCAUGCACUGCUCUGGUUUGCCAGAAGUGGCUUAGUCAUGCUGGCCACAUGACCCGGAAGCUUUGCGCCAGCUCCCUCGGCCAAUAAAGCGAGAUGAGCACCGCAACCACAGAGUCGGUCACGACUGGACCUAAUGGUCAGGGGUCCCUUUACCUAUAAUAAUUGUAUUAUUUGUACCCCACCCAUCUGAUUGUGUUGCCCCAGCCACUCUGGGUAGCUUCCAACAUAUCUAGAAACAUAAAAUAACAUUAAGCGUCGAAAACUUCCCUAAAUAGCCUUCAGAUGUCUUCUAAAGGUCAGGUAGUUGUUUAUCUGUUUGGCAUCUGAUUGAUUGGAGGGCGUUCCACAGAGCGGGCGCCACUACCGAGAAGGCCCUCUGCCUGGUUCCCUGUAAGUUCACUUCUCACAGUGAGGGAACUGCCAGAAGGGCCUCGGAGGUGGACACGUCAUACUCAUUGACAUCCCUCUGAGCAGCAUUGUGAGUCUUGCUGCUUAUAUAUCCUGUGCAUGUAGCCUUGUGGGGGGAAAGGCUUGUACAUCCACUUUCCCUUCUACUGCAUGGGAAUGUUGUUUGAUAAGGCUUGCCCUAAUAAAAAUGUCAUACGGAAAAAGCAAGCCCCAUGGAAAUGGACCUUCAGCUGAAAGGAUAACCUUGGAACACCACCACCCAGGUGUUGCUGGGGUUGCCAGAUCCCUUUAGCCCCAUCUUGCAUAACUUAAUAGUCAGGGAUGGUGGAAUUUACAGCCUGGCUCACACAUUUGGAAUGCACUUACCUCAUGGGUAGGCAAACUAUGGCCCGGGGGCCGGAUCCGGCCCAAUCGCCUUCUGAAUCUGGCCCGCGGACGUUCCAUAAAUCAGUGUGUUUUUACAUGAGUAGAAUGUGUGCUUUUAUUUAAAAUGCAUCUCUGGGUUAUUUGUGGGGCAUAGGAAUUCGUUCAUCCCCCCCCCCAAAAAAAAUAUAUAGUCCGGCCCCACACAAGGUCUGAGGGACAGUGCACCGGCCCCCUGCUGAAAACGUUUGCUGACCCUGACUUACCCUGUCUUUGGCAUUGAGAUCUGCUUCACAGGCGAUGAGGUGCUCCCCACAUUCGUACUGACCUGUCCUUACGGCCACAUGUAGAGGACUGCUGAGCAACUGGUAGAAAAGGAAGGGCAGGGAGAGGCAUAAUCAACAGAAGCAGGGCAAGGCAUUCUAAAGUGAGAAACAACAAGCUCGGAUCUAAAAGGGCCUCUUGUACAAACAGCUCGCAAAUCCACUUUUAACUUUUCCCACCUCAGUUUUUCAAACGGAAAUAAUAAUAGCUUACCUUAUCUCUAGCAUUCCUGUUUAUUCCUUUGUUCAGCAAGUACUUCAGGAUUUCCACAUUGCCCCCACGGCAGGUCCAAUGAAUAGCAGUGGAUUCAAGCUACGCCAGAGGAAAAUAAUAAUAAAUAUUUGUCAACUGGUUCACAUAUGAUGUGAGUUUUCAGCACCUAAUUACUCAUGUCCUGAUGAGUCUUGGCCACUAGACUUGUGCCCGGAUAUUGUUGAUAAAAGUUUUAUUACUUUGGGAAAUAAAAAACUUUAUUGAAAAGAAAAUCCUUGUGUCUGAGAUAGCAGGAGGUAAUACAGUGGUACCUUGGGUUAAGAACUUAAUUCAUUCUGGAGGUCCGUUCUUAAUCUGAAACUGUUUUUAACCUGAGGUACCACUUUAGCUAAUGGGGCCUCCCACUGUGCUGCCGCUGUGUGAUUUGUGUUCUCAUCCUGAAGCAAAGUUCUUAACCCGAGGUACUAUUUCUGGGUUAGUGGAGUCUGUAACCUGAAGCGUCUGUAACCUGAAGCGUCUGUAACCCGAGGUACCACUGUAGUGGUUCCAUCUGCAACAGGCUAGGCAUGGCUUAUUGAUGGUUACAGUGAAUGAGUAGCGAACGUGUGUCUGUGUGAACCACCCCAAGGAACUCUGCAUGUGUCCAAUGAGCACUUACCAUAUCCUGGAAUUCAAGGUGGGCUCCUGCUUCUACUAACUUCUCCACAACUGCCAGGUGCCCUUCUGAGCAUGCUCUGUGCAAGGCUGUGCGCUUGUACUGUCAAAUGGAAUAGUCAUAGUGUGGUCAAUUUUAACCUGCAAGGCUUUGAAAUAAAUCAUACAACCCUUAGCAUGUUGAAUAUUCAAAACACUUUACACAUAAAUUAACCCCGCCCGUCUCACCCUUACCAAAACAAGACAUGCACAUGUAAGGUUUUACAUUUCCUUCUCGUGCCUUGCUAAACUUCCCUCCCCCUCGUUUAAAUUAAGCUCCUGAAGGCAAGGCCUUCUCUUUCAUUACCAUGUAUGGUGUCAUGUACAGAUAUGUAUACAAUGCCAGAUAAAUCAUAAUUUCAGUCUUUUGUUAACAACAGCCCCGUACGGCAUUUAUGUACUUAACUUGUUUAGUUUUGUCAGUUUAUAAGCCACCCUUCAGUAACAGUAGGCUCUCUUAGCUGUACAAUUUAAACAGCAUAAAUUCAUGAAGACAAAACACGACAAGCACAAGGAAAUAGAUUUUUGAUAUUGCUUGAAUGCCCAUUUAAAGAAACAAUGCUCCCCUGUCUUAGGAGUUCAGAAUACUUUAACCGUGAAAAGUGUAUCUGCUUCAAAAGGUAACACUGACAGAGUGGUGGUGGAUUUUAAAUGUAACCUUAAGAUAUAAUUUUUAAGGAGGACAUAAAAACCUCUUAAAAGCUGGUUUGAGAGGCAUUCAUUCUCCCUAUGGAGGUCUGGAAACAGCAGUGGUUGGGGAGAGAUCAGGCUCUUUAAAGAGAGAACCUUCUUUACCCUCAUCAAACUACAACUCCCAGGAUCCUUUGGGAAAGCCGUGACUGUUAAAGCUAAGAUCAAAGAUAUGCGCCUUAUAGUAGAUCUGGGACAGAAAUUGAUGAACAAAUCAUACCUCAUCACAAACGUUUGGAUCUCCUUUGUCUGCCAGGUAUUUUUCAAUUAUUGGCAUCUUGUUCUCCAAGGCAGCCUUUAAAAAUGUUGGAACAUCCACGGGUUCAGUCUGAUGGAGAGCAGAAAUAAGAGUUAGUUCAGUUCCAUGUGGGGGAACCCCAUAAAGGCAGCAGAGAAGACUAUUUUGCCCCUGAACUUACUAUAACUUCUUGCUCAGGCUCCUUUACAACGGGCACUUUAACCUUCUUGAAUUUUUUUCUCUUCUUCAGCUGAAUGAUUUUUUCAAGAUCUUCCAAGCUCUCAAGUUUUGGUCUCGCCUCUAAUUUCUUCUUCUUGAUCUGAACAACAACAACAACAACAAAAGCAAAUAAAAACAUAAGAAAAUCCCUCCUGGAUCAGACCACUGUUUUAUCUACUCCAGCAUCCUGUUCUCACAGUGGCCAACCAGAUAGAUGCCUAUGGAAAGCCUGCAAGCAGGAACUGAGUGCAAAUGUCCUGCUCCCAUUUGUGAAUCUCUGCAACUGGUAUUCAGAGUCAUACAACUUCCAAUGGUGGAAAUAGACAGGGCUUUUUUCCCCUGCCAGAACUCAAUGGAACUCAGUUCAGGCACCUCUCAGGUGGGUGCUAUUGCCAUUCUAAGAGAACAAGGGAACUGUUCAUGGUGAGUUCUGGCACAUCUCUAGGAAAAAAGGCACUGGAAGUAGCCACUGUGAGUGACUGCCAUGAAAUUAGAGCAAUAUGAGGAACAAUAACAUUAGCUUCAACAUACAAUCUCCAGGGUCCCUUGGAAUCCCCUUCAACAUUUAAAAUAAUCAGAAAAGGCGUUACUUCAGCUACUAAUACUACACUAAUCUCAAUACACCAAUUCAAAUUUAAAGAUACCACUUGAAAUUCUGCUGAAAAAAUGCUACUAGUUAUUUAAAUGUAAGACAGAUAAGUGAUUAAGGAACCAUCCAGACAUAACACAGGGUCACAUGUUCCUUAGAAUUUAUUCUAGUUAUAAAUACGUGUCAGCCUAUAUUUAAAGCACAGGCUACAUCUUUAAUGUAGAGUAACAACCCAACUUGCUUUUCACAGAACAAGGUGAUAAAGAGUGACAUAAUUUACACCCCCAAAUGUAGAAUGAUUGUUGCUCUGACAGAUUCACUGUUUCUCCUUUUUGGAGUGAUUCUUGAUCAAGUCUCAAGUUGAACCUUCAUUGCAAAAAGUGUGUUGGGCUGGGGAAGGGGCGGUUGAUUCAAAACCCUUUAAAACCCAUGUAGAAUUUGGAUCCCCUUAAACUUAACCCUGUUCUGUAAUUCUUCAUUUGAAUAAUCCAUCGCCAGGGAAGCUGUAAAAUGCUAAAUCACCAGCUCACAAUAAUCUGUUACUUCAAAGGAAAAGUCUGUGGAUUUAAAUUCCAGUAAUGUAUUUCCUAUUUUCAUAUAUCUUUGAGGAAGGGUUGGUGGAAUCUUAUUUUUAUUGCCCACCUUAAAAUUUUGUUCUCAUUGAGGAAGAUUUUUAAUAAUGUUGCCAUUCUUGAAAUGAUGGGCAUAAUUCUGCUGGCACUGAACCAAACAAUUGCAGAUGACCUUAUCUUAUAAACGGAAGGCAAAAAUGUUUUUAAGGAGGAACACCCAGGUGUCCCAAUAUGUCCUUGGCAUGCGAGGGGUGGGAUAACACAUUAUUUGCAUGCAGAAAGUCUCAGUGUGAAUUGUCUCAGCAGAGAUGGGUGAGAAAUUUGAUUCACAUUUUAAUGCAAACUGGCCUAUGUGCAAACCAAAACACAAGCUAUCUUUACAAAAUUGUACUUCUCUGAAUUUUCACAGCAGUUCUUUUGUAAUUCAUACAUUAAGACAAGUUUGCAUAUUUUCCUGAAAAUAACAUAUAAAAUGCAUUCUGUUGGGGGGAGGAUAUGUAUAGCAGGCAAAACUGCAUGGAAGUAUAUGUAUAGCAGACAGUUACAUUAAAGUGAUAAAUUUUUAUGAGAA